AACGCACAUUGCGCCCGCCAGUAUUCUGGCGGGCACGCCUGUUCGAGCGUCAUUUCAACCCUCAGGCCCCGCCUGGUGUUGGGGCCCCGCGGCCGCCGCGGCCCCCUAAAACCAGUGGCGGGCUCGCCAGGACUCCGAGCGCAGUAGCACACCACGCUCGCGGCGUCCCGGCGCGGCCCGGCCCUAAACCUACCAAGUUUUUACAAGGUUGACCUCGGAUCAGGUGGGAAUACCCGCUGAACUUAA
This 246-nucleotide unclassified non-coding RNA is filed under the name uncultured fungus. Its description in RNAcentral is "partial contains 5.8S ribosomal RNA, internal transcribed spacer 2, and large subunit ribosomal RNA". The stretch from base 1 to 52 matches the Rfam family "5.8S ribosomal RNA", at positions 103 to 154 of the family's 154-position model. Lineage: Eukaryota; Fungi. The record is from RNAcentral.